GUGUUGAUGAGGAGUCCUAAAAUAGGACGAAACAGCUGUCCAGUGC
This 46-nucleotide non-coding RNA is filed under the name Trichobilharzia regenti. The record is from RNAcentral. Lineage: Eukaryota; Metazoa; Platyhelminthes; Trematoda; Strigeidida; Schistosomatidae.